GACGAACGCUGGCGGCGUGCCUAAUACAUGCAAGUCGAGCGGACCGGAUUGGGGCUUGCCUUGAUUCGGUCAGCGGCGGACGGGUGAGUAACACGUGGGCAACCUGCCCGCAAGACCGGGAUAACUCCGGGAAACCGGAGCUAAUACCGGAUAACACCGAAGACCGCAUGGUCUUCGGUUGAAAGGCGGCCUUUGGGCUGUCACUUGCGGAUGGGCCCGCGGCGCAUUAGCUAGUUGGUGAGGUAACGGCUCACCAAGGCGACGUUGCGUAGCCGGCCUGAGAGGGUGACCGGCCACACUGGGACUGAGACACGGCCCAGACUCCUACGGGAGGCAGCAGUAGGGAAUCUUCCGCAAUGGGCGAAAGCCUGACGGAGCGACGCCGCGUGAGCGAAGAAGGCCUUCGGGUCGUAAAGCUCUGUUGUGAGGGACGAAGGAGCGUCGUUCGAAGAGGGCGGCGCGGUGACGGUACCUCACGAGAAAGCCCCGGCUAACUACGUG
Molecule: ribosomal RNA, 501 nt
Filed under: uncultured bacterium
Lineage: Bacteria
Description: partial 16S ribosomal RNA
Rfam family: Bacterial small subunit ribosomal RNA
Source: RNAcentral